UGAUGUGUUUGCUUUUCUCUUUCUCCAGGGUGAGGCUGGAGUGAGUGGCCUCCCAGGAGGAAAUGGAGUUCGUGGUCCUCCUGGACCAUCUGGACUCCCAGGGCUGCCUGGUCCCCCAGGUCCCCCAGGACCUCCUGUAAGUACUACCACAGACUUGCUGAGAGCAAAGAAAGUCCAGGGAUUUCAUGGUCAGGGGUGCAGGCUUUGAGUAAAGGUGGACAGAAGAAAAAGUUAAUCCUGGGAUGAGCCCAGGAUCUCAUCCUUCUGCUAAGCUGAAACUCCUAGCCAAAGCAGUGCAUUAAGUUCUUCAAGCUCCCAGAAAGAAAAAACAAAACAAAACUGUAAGACAUAGGAGAGGUUAGGACCUGAAGCAAAGGGAUUGCCUGGAGUGUCAG
This 395-nucleotide long non-coding RNA is filed under the name Monodelphis domestica (gray short-tailed opossum). Its description in RNAcentral is "lncRNA (ENSMODG00000036861.1)". The record is from RNAcentral. Lineage: Eukaryota; Metazoa; Chordata; Mammalia; Didelphimorphia; Didelphidae.